CACCAAUAGGGAACGUGAGC
Molecule: small nuclear RNA, 20 nt
Filed under: Arabidopsis thaliana (thale cress)
Lineage: Eukaryota; Viridiplantae; Streptophyta; Magnoliopsida; Brassicales; Brassicaceae
Description: snRNA_10310
Source: RNAcentral